CAGCCGCCGCGGUAACACGGAGGGUGCAAGCGUUAAUCGGAAUUACUGGGCGUAAAGCGCACGCAGGCGGUCUGACAAGUCAGAUGUGAAAUCCCCGGGCUUAACCUGGGAACUGCAUUUGAAACUGUCAGGCUGGAGUCUUGUAGAGGGGGGUAGAAUUCCAGGUGUAGCGGUGAAAUGCGUAGAGAUCUGGAGGAAUACCGGUGGCGAAGGCGGCCCCCUGGACAAAGACUGACGCUCAGGUGCGAAAGCGUGGGGAGCAAACAGGAUUAGAUACCCCAGUAGUCCCUGUCUCUUAUAA
This 301-nucleotide ribosomal RNA is filed under the name uncultured bacterium. RNAcentral describes it as "partial 16S ribosomal RNA". It matches the Rfam family "Bacterial small subunit ribosomal RNA", at positions 509 to 809 of the family's 1533-position model. The record is from RNAcentral.